RNAcentral lists this ribosomal RNA (253 nucleotides) under uncultured bacterium. RNAcentral's name for it is "partial 16S ribosomal RNA". It matches the Rfam family "Bacterial small subunit ribosomal RNA", at positions 524 to 776 of the family's 1533-position model. The record is from RNAcentral.
UACGGGGGGGGCAAGCGUUGUUCGGAAUUACUGGGCGUAAAGGGUCUGUAGGUGGCUUGCUAAGUCAGACGUGAAAUCCCUCAGCUUAACUGGGGAACUGCGUCUGAGACUGGCGAGCUUGAGGGCAGGAGAGGAACGCGGAAUUCCAGGUGUAGCGGUGAAAUGCGUAGAUAUCUGGAGGAACACCGGUGGCGAAGGCGGCAUCCUGGACCAAUUCUGACACUGAGGAGCGAAAGCCAGGGGAGCAAACGGG